UGAAGUAUCAGGCUCUGGCUCUAGCUUUAGCUCUGGCACUGGAACUGCCUCGGAGUCUGGGUCUGAGUCUGGCAGCCCGAAGCCUGGACACCUUUUCUUGAUUCUCUAGGCGGGGGCUGCCUGCGUCCAAGCAGCUGGUUUGCAGCGUUCCAACGCUGGGAGGGAGUUCCCUUACCUGGGGUCCAGUCUGUAAAGUUGUCGCCGCUUUCUAGGGAUCCCGCCCCACCGGCUGGGACUCUUCCAUGCAGUUGAAACUGGUUGACAACCAUUAACCUGGGUUGCAACUACAGGUGGCACUGGAAGCAGACUGGUUCCUGGACAUGCCCGGUGGAAGGAGGGGCCCUAGUCGGCAACAGCUAAGCCGUUCAGCUUUACCUUCUUUGCAGACUUUGGUUGGUGGAGGCUGUGGCAAUGGAACAGGCUUGAGAAACAGGAAUGGUAGUGCUAUUGGCCUUCCAGUCCCACCUAUCACAGCCUUAAUCACCCCAGGUCCUGUUCGUCAUUGCCAAAUUCCUGACUUGCCUGUGGAUGGGAGCCUACUCUUUGAAUUCCUUUUUUUCAUCUACCUGUUGGUUGCUCUUUUCAUUCAGUACAUCAACAUUUAUAAAACAGUGUGGUGGUAUCCUUACAAUCAUCCUGCUUCUUGUACAUCACUGGUUUGGUGUUUAUGUUCCUCUUUGCUGUUUUCAUCAAGAUAGUAGAGCUCAUCUUCUUCUCACAGACUACAACUAUGUGGUUCAGCAUGAGGCAGUGGAGGAAAGUGCCUCGACUGUGGGAGGCUUGGCCAAAUCCAAAGACUUUCUCUCCUUGUUGCUGGAGUCGCUAA
Molecule: small RNA, 826 nt
Filed under: Pan troglodytes (chimpanzee)
Lineage: Eukaryota; Metazoa; Chordata; Mammalia; Primates; Hominidae
Description: processed transcript
Source: RNAcentral